RNAcentral lists this ribosomal RNA (173 nucleotides) under uncultured bacterium. Its description in RNAcentral is "partial 16S ribosomal RNA". It matches the Rfam family "Bacterial small subunit ribosomal RNA", at positions 193 to 353 of the family's 1533-position model. The record is from RNAcentral.
UCGCAAGACCAAAGAGGGGGACCUCGGGCCUCUUGCCAUCGGAUGUGCCCAGAUGGGAUUAGCUUGUUGGUGGGGUAACGGCUCACCAAGGCGACGAUCCCUAGCUGGUCUGAGAGGAUGACCAGCCACACUGGAACUGAGACACGGUCCAGACUCCUACGGGAGGCAGCAUG